UGAGGAAUAUUGGUCAAUGGGGGCAACCCUGAACAAGCCAAGUCGCGUGAAGGAUGAAGGUCUUAUGGAUUGUAAACUUCUUUUAUACAGGAAUAAAUUGGGGGACGUGUCCCCUUUUGCAUGUACUGUAUGAAUAAGGAUCGGCUAACUCCGUGCCGGCAGCCGCGGUAAUACGGAGGAUCCGAGCGUUAUCCGGAUUUAUUGGGUUUAAAGGGUGCGCAGGCGGGAUGUUAAGUCGGCGGUGAAAUUUUGCAGCUCAACUGUAAAAGUGCCUUCGAUACUGGCUUCCUUGAGUGUGGAUGAAGUAGGCGGAAUUUGUGGUGUAGCGGUGAAAUGCUUAGAUAUCACGAGGAACUCCGAUUGCGCAGGCAGCUUACUAAGCCACAACUGACGCUCAUGCACGAAGGCGUGGGGAUCAAACA
RNAcentral lists this ribosomal RNA (422 nucleotides) under uncultured bacterium. Its description in RNAcentral is "bacterial SSU rRNA". It matches the Rfam family "Bacterial small subunit ribosomal RNA", at positions 355 to 774 of the family's 1533-position model. The record is from RNAcentral.